RNAcentral lists this ribosomal RNA (407 nucleotides) under uncultured bacterium. RNAcentral describes it as "partial 16S ribosomal RNA". It matches the Rfam family "Bacterial small subunit ribosomal RNA", at positions 29 to 526 of the family's 1533-position model. The record is from RNAcentral.
AAUGAACGCUGGCGGCAGGCCUAACACAUGCAAGUCGAGCGGAACGGCGGGCGGGUGAGUGAUUCCUAGGUAUGUGCCUGGUAGUGGGGGAUAGCGUCCGGAAAGGGGCGCUAAUUACUAAUGCUAUCCGUUGAGUCUAGCUGGGAUUAGCUAGUUGGUGGGGUAAAGGCCUACCAAGGCGACGAACCGUAGCUGGUCUGAGAGGAUGACCAGUCACACUGGAACUGAGACACGGUCCAGACUCCUACGGGAGGCAGCAGUGGGGAAUAUUGGACAAUGGGCGAAAGCCUGAUGCAGCCAUGCCGCGUGUGUGAAGAAGGUCUUCGGGUUGUAAAGCACUUUAAGUUGGGAGGCGUUACCAACAGAAUAAGCACCGGCUAACUCCGUGCCAGCAGCCGCGGUAAUAC